CUUGACGCGCAUUUGACCAAAUUGGAAGGAUUAUUAAAAAAAGAGGAUCGGUCGCUACGAACUGUGUUCGAUAACGGAACACUGAAUUUGGAUGAAUAUCGCUGCCAGCCGGACGAUUUUAAAUGAGGAACGUAUAGCAUUGUUUUGGAGGAAAAAUAAUCAUUUAGUCUGAAAUUAUGACAGUUUUAUGAGAACGCACAAGAAAAUAUUCUUUUAGAUGACAAAUUUAAUAUGAG
RNAcentral lists this unclassified non-coding RNA (236 nucleotides) under Bombus terrestris (buff-tailed bumblebee). RNAcentral describes it as "misc RNA ENSBTSG00005020709.1". Lineage: Eukaryota; Metazoa; Arthropoda; Insecta; Hymenoptera; Apidae. The record is from RNAcentral.